This 861-nucleotide ribosomal RNA is filed under the name uncultured archaeon. RNAcentral describes it as "bacterial SSU rRNA". It matches the Rfam family "Archaeal small subunit ribosomal RNA", at positions 55 to 922 of the family's 1478-position model. The record is from RNAcentral.
GAGUUAUUGUAGCAAUACAAGGCAUACGGCUCAGUAACGCGUAGUCAACCUAACCUAUGGACGGGAAUAACCUCGGGAAACUGAGAAUAAUGCCCGAUAGAACAUUAUACCUGGAAUGGUUUAUGUUCCAAAUGAUUUAUCGCCGUAGGAUGGGACUGCGGCCUAUCAGUUUGUUGGUGAGGUAAUGGCCCACCAAGACUAUUACAGGUACGGGCUCUGAGAGGAGUAGCCCGGAGAUGGGUACUGAGACACGGACCCAGGCCCUAUGGGGCGCAGCAGGCGAGAAAACUUUGCAAUGUGCGAAAGCACGACAAGGUUAAUCCGAGUGAUUUCUGCUAAAGAAAUCUUUUGUUAGUCCUAGAAACACUAACGAAUAAGGGGUGGGCAAGUUCUGGUGUCAGCCGCCGCGGUAAAACCAGCACCUCAAGUGGUCAGGAUGAUUAUUGGGCCUAAAGCAUCCGUAGCCGGCUCUGUAAGUUUUCGGUUAAAUCUGUACGCUCAACGUACAGGCCGCCGGGAAUACUGCAAAGCUAGGGAGUGGGAGAAGUAGACGGUACUCGGUAGGAAGUGGUAAAAUGCUUUGAUCUGUCGAUGACCACCUGUGGCGAAGGCGGUCUACUAGAACACGUCCGACGGUGAGGGAUGAAAGCUGGGGGAGCAAACCGGAUUAGAUACCCGGGUAGUCCCAGCUGUAAACUAUGCAAACUCAGUGAUGCAUUGGCUUGUGGCCAAUGCAGUGCUGCAGGGAAGCCGUUAAGUUUGCCGCCUGGGAAGUACGUACGCAAGUAUGAAACUUAAAGGAAUUGGCGGGGGAGCACCACAAGGGGUGAAGCCUGCGGUUCAAUUGGAUUCAACGCCGGG